AUUGAACGCUGGCGGCAGGCCUAACACAUGCAAGUCGAGCGAGCGGCGGACGGGUGAGCAAUGUAUGGGGACUGCCCGAUAGCUGGGGAUAACUACUGGAAACGGUAGCUAAUACCGCAUCCUAUCGGAUAACCCAUAUGGGAUUAGCUCGUAGGUGGGGUAAGUGCUCACCUAGGCGACGAUCCCUAGCUGGUCUGAGAGGAUGAACAGCCACACUGGGACUGAGACACGGCCCAGACUCCUACGGAGGCAGCAGGGGGGAAUAUUGCACAAUGGGCGCAAGCCUGAUGCAGCCAUGCCGCGUGUAUGAAGAAGGCCCUAGGGUUGUAAAGUACUUUCAGUCGGGAGGCGUUACCGACAGAAGAAGCACCGGCUAACUCCGUGACAGCAGCCGCGGUAAUAC
RNAcentral lists this ribosomal RNA (403 nucleotides) under uncultured bacterium. RNAcentral's name for it is "partial 16S ribosomal RNA". It matches the Rfam family "Bacterial small subunit ribosomal RNA", at positions 30 to 526 of the family's 1533-position model. The record is from RNAcentral.